This 217-nucleotide long non-coding RNA is filed under the name Elaeis guineensis (African oil palm). RNAcentral's name for it is "long non-coding RNA (EGUI_LNC081291)". The record is from RNAcentral. Lineage: Eukaryota; Viridiplantae; Streptophyta; Magnoliopsida; Arecales; Arecaceae.
GGCAGCUGCUCUCUGACCUCCAUCAGCACUUGAGCUUUUGGAGCAUUGAGGGGGGCGUUGCUGUGGAAUUCUCCUGGGGGAGAGCUCUACCGAACCCUGCGGUCCGGGCUCCUCUACCUAUGAGCUUGGGGAGGAGUGUGAACAUGCUUGUGUCUGGGGGAUGUUCAAGAAUGUGGCCGAGUGAAGGAGGAGUGCAGACAUGCUUAUGUCCAGGGGA